UACGUAGGGGGCUAGCGUUGUCCGGAAUCAUUGGGCGUAAAGCGCGUGUAGGCGGUCCGGUAAGUCCGCUGUGAAAGUCGAGGGCUCAACCCUCGAAUGCCGGUGGAUACUGUCGGGCUUGAGUACGGGAGAGGCGAGUGGAAUUCCUGGUGUAGCGGUGAAAUGCGCAGAUAUCGGGAGGAACACCGAUUGCGAAGGCAGCUCGCUGGAACGUUACUGACGCUGAGACGCGAAAGCGUGGGGAGCAAACAGG
Molecule: ribosomal RNA, 253 nt
Filed under: uncultured bacterium
Lineage: Bacteria
Description: partial 16S ribosomal RNA
Rfam family: Bacterial small subunit ribosomal RNA
Source: RNAcentral